GGUAGUCCACGCCGUAAACGAUGUCGACUUGGAGGUUGUGCCCUUGAGGCGUGGCUUCCGGAGCUAACGCGUUAAGUCGACCGCCUGGGGAGUACGGCCGCAAGGUUAAAACUCAAAUGAAUUGACGGGGGCCCGCACAAGCGGUGGAGCAUGUGGUUUAAUUCGAUGCAACGCGAAGAACCUUACCUACUCUUGACAUCCAGAGAACUUAGCAGAGAUGCUUUGGUGCCUUCGGGAACUCUGAGACAGGUGCUGCAUGGCUGUCGUCAGCUCGUGUUGUGAAAUGUUGGGUUAAGUCCCGCAACGAGCGCAACCCUUAUCCUUUGUUGCCAGCGGUUAGGCCGGGAACUCAAAGGAGACUGCCAGUGAUAAACUGGAGGAAGGUGGGGAUGACGUCAAGUCAUCAUGGCCCUUACGAGUAGGGCUACACACGUGCUACAAUGGCGCAUGCAAAGAGAAGCGACCUCGCGAGAGCAAGCGGACCUCAUAAAGUGCGUCGUAGUCCGGAUUGGAGUCUGCAACUCGACUCCAUGAAGUCGGAAUCCCUAGUAAUCGUAGAUCAGAAUGCUACGGUGAGUACGUUCCCGGGCCUUGUACACACCGCCCGUCACACCAUGGGAGUGGGUUGCAAAAGAAGUAGGUAGCUUAACCUUCGGGAGGGCGCUUACCACUUUGUGAUUCAUGACUGGGGUGAAGUCGUAACAAGGUAACCGUAGGGGAACCUGC
Molecule: ribosomal RNA, 726 nt
Filed under: uncultured bacterium
Lineage: Bacteria
Description: bacterial SSU rRNA
Rfam family: Bacterial small subunit ribosomal RNA
Source: RNAcentral